This 494-nucleotide ribosomal RNA is filed under the name uncultured bacterium. RNAcentral's name for it is "partial 16S ribosomal RNA". It matches the Rfam family "Bacterial small subunit ribosomal RNA", at positions 28 to 506 of the family's 1533-position model. The record is from RNAcentral.
GACGAACGCUGGCGGCGUGCCUAAUACAUGCAAGUAGAACGCUGAAGGAGGAGCUUGCUUCUCUGGAUGAGUUGCGAACGGGUGAGUAACGCGUAGGUAACCUGCCUGGUAGCGGGGGAUAACUAUUGGAAACGAUAGCUAAUACCGCAUAAUAGUAGAUGUUGCAUGACAUUUGCUUAAAAGGUGCAAUUGCAUCACUACCAGAUGGACCUGCGUUGUAUUAGCUAGUUGGUGGGGUAACGGCUCACCAAGGCGACGAUACAUAGCCGACCUGAGAGGGUGAUCGGCCACACUGGGACUGAGACACGGCCCAGACUCCUACGGGAGGCAGCAGUAGGGAAUCUUCGGCAAUGGACGGAAGUCUGACCGGGCAACGCCGCGUGAGUGAAGAAGGUUUUCGGAUCGUAAAGCUCUGUUGUAAGAGAAGAACGAGUGUGAGAGUGGAAAGUUCACACUGUGACGGUAUCUUACCAGAAAGGGACGGCUAACUACGU